CCUACGGGUGGCAGCAGUGAGGAAUAUUGGUCAAUGGCCGGAAGGCUGAACCAGCCAAGCCGCGUGAAGGACGAAGGUGCCAAGCAUUGUAAACUUCUUUUGUCAAGGGACAAAAUCAGGCUCGAGAGCCUGACCGAGGGUACUUGAAGAAAAAGCAUCGGCUAACUACGUGCCAGCAGCCGCGGUAAUACGUAGGGGGCAAGCGUUAUCCGGAUUUACUGGGUGUAAAGGGAGCGUAGACGGAAAGGCAAGUCAGAAGUGAAAGCCCAAGGCUCAACCAUGGGACUGCUUUUGAAACUGUCAAACUAGAGUACGGGAGAGGUAAGAGGAAUUCCUAGUGUAGCGGUGAAAUGCGUAGAUAUUAGGAGGAACACCAGUGGCGAAGGCGUCUUACUGGACCGAAACUGACGUUGAGGCUCGAAAGCGUGGGGAGCAAACAGGAUUAGAUACCCCAGUAGUC
Molecule: ribosomal RNA, 460 nt
Filed under: uncultured bacterium
Lineage: Bacteria
Description: partial 16S ribosomal RNA
Rfam family: Bacterial small subunit ribosomal RNA
Source: RNAcentral